This is a long non-coding RNA of Seriola aureovittata, 805 nucleotides long. RefSeq lists it as uncharacterized. NCBI's taxonomy places the organism in Eukaryota, Metazoa, Chordata, Actinopteri, Carangiformes, Carangidae. The transcript is spliced from 2 exons. The record is from RefSeq and is a predicted model, not a curated record.
UCUUCCUCAAGUCACCCAGAGGGACUAAGACAUGAGGAUAAGAUGCAAGUGAAGGAUAAGAAAGAGAAAAUCAAAGAAAGACAAAUCAUUGUUUGGUUAAACUACUCACAACCCACAUCCACACUAACAAAACAGUGCUUCAUUUGAAAGAGCCACAAGCCAAAAAAAUAAGAAAACACAAAGGUAUUUCUGUUUAGAUUUUUGUUUUUUUUGUCCACCUGGUUUCUAAGGCUCCAGUUUAGUUUGCCCUUGACCUAUCUUUUGUCUGGAAGCAGGAGCCUUAAUGUCCUCUCAGACUAAUGCCUGCCCGGCGCCACGUCUUUCUCACUGUUCUCUCAGCCUCCAAGAGUCAUCAUCAUGACUGUCUGUCUGGCCUUCUCUGCAUUAUCUGCUGGCACUCAGGCUCCUCCAAGGCCUCCAACUGCGCUCUGCACUCAACUGACUGAGAAAACGACAGGGCAGAUGGGAGGAUAACAAAUCAGGUUGUAGCCAAUCACAUUAUUAGGUCUCUUUGAUGGAGCGAAGUGAUUGAAAACAAGCUUGACUGCAUAUUUUGGAACUAUUUAGCUUGUUUCUUACCUUAUCAUAAUGAUGAUAUUUUACUUUUAAUACAACUGUCAGGCAGCACCACAAAGAGACACAAAAAGACCACAAAGAUGGAAAAUUACCACAAAGUGACCACAAAGAAACACAAAAACAAAGAGACACAAAACAAUUGAAAAGAUGCAAAAUAUUUGUAAAGAGAUGCAAAGUUCAAUGUAAUAAAUUCAGGCCAAAUAAACAUUUUGCAUUUAUUAUCAAAGAA